UGCGGCUGGAUCACCUCCUUUCUAAGGAAGAUGUUGAGUAUCAUUGAAUUUAUUGAGUGAUCU
Molecule: unclassified non-coding RNA, 63 nt
Filed under: Candidatus Liberibacter asiaticus
Lineage: Bacteria; Pseudomonadati; Pseudomonadota; Alphaproteobacteria; Hyphomicrobiales; Rhizobiaceae
Description: partial 16S-23S ribosomal RNA intergenic spacer
Source: RNAcentral